Molecule: non-coding RNA, 45 nt
Filed under: Schistosoma mansoni
Lineage: Eukaryota; Metazoa; Platyhelminthes; Trematoda; Strigeidida; Schistosomatidae
Source: RNAcentral
AUCCAGCUGACGAGUCCCUAGUAGGACGAAACGCGUGUCCUUGAU